UCCAGACUCCUACGGGAGGCAGCAGUGGGGGAUAUUGCACAAUGGGGGGAACCCUGAUGCAGCGACGCCGCGUGGGUGAAGGAGCGUUUCGGCGCGUAAAGCCCUAUCGGCAGGGAAGAAGGAGGACGGUACCUGACUAAGAAGCCCCGGCUAACUACGUGCCAGCAGCCGCGGUAAUACGUAGGGGGCAAGCGUUAUCCGGAUUUACUGGGUGUAAAGGGGGCGCAGACGGCAGCGCAAGCCAGGAGUGAAAGCCCGGGGCCCAACCCCGGGACUGCUCUUGGAACUGCGCGGCUGGAGUGCAGGAGGGGCAGGCGGAAUUCCUGGUGUAGCGGUGAAAUGCGUAGAUAUCAGGAGGAACACCGGUGGCGAAGGCGGCCUGCUGGACGGCGACUGACGUUGAGGCCCGAAAGCGUGGGGAGCAAACAGGAUUAGAUACCCGCGUAGUA
RNAcentral lists this ribosomal RNA (449 nucleotides) under uncultured bacterium. RNAcentral's name for it is "partial 16S ribosomal RNA". It matches the Rfam family "Bacterial small subunit ribosomal RNA", at positions 330 to 795 of the family's 1533-position model. The record is from RNAcentral.